AACAAACGCUGGCGGCGUGCCUAAUACAUGCAAGUCGAACGGGGAAAGCUUUCGGGUGAGUACUAGUGGCGCACGGGUGAGGAACGCGUGGAUAAUCUGCCUUAGAGUGGGGGAUAACUAGUCUACAGAUUAGCUAAUACCGCAUAAGACCACGAGAGCUGCGGCUUUUGGGGUCAAAGGUUUUUCGCUCUAAGAUGAGUCCGCGUAAGAUUAGCUAGUUGGUGAGGUAACGGCUCACUAAGGCGAAGAUGUUGAACUGGUCUGAGGGGAUGAUCAGUCACACGGAAACUGAGACACGGUCCAGACUCCUACGGGAGGCAGGUGUAGGGAAUAUUGCAAAAUGGAGGAAACUCUGGUGCAGCGACGGCGCGUGGGUGAUGAAGGCCUUCGGGUCGUAAAGCUCUGUCGCAGGGGGAUAACACAAUGAAGGUACCCUGUAAGAAAGGAUCGGCUAACUUCGUG
This 462-nucleotide ribosomal RNA is filed under the name uncultured bacterium. RNAcentral describes it as "partial 16S ribosomal RNA". It matches the Rfam family "Bacterial small subunit ribosomal RNA", at positions 29 to 507 of the family's 1533-position model. The record is from RNAcentral.